GGACCAUGGCUCAGUGACAGAGUAUUUGUUUUACAUACAGAAGUUCCCAGAUUUAAUCCCUGGCAUCUCCA
RNAcentral lists this transfer RNA (71 nucleotides) under Sphaerodactylus townsendi. RNAcentral describes it as "tRNA-Val". Lineage: Eukaryota; Metazoa; Chordata; Lepidosauria; Squamata; Sphaerodactylidae. The record is from RNAcentral.